Molecule: long non-coding RNA, 2129 nt
Filed under: Salmo salar (Atlantic salmon)
Lineage: Eukaryota; Metazoa; Chordata; Actinopteri; Salmoniformes; Salmonidae
Description: lncRNA (ENSSSAG00000087725.1)
Source: RNAcentral
AGUGGGAAGGGAGGGAAAGAGUGGGAAGGGAGGGAGAGAGGGAGGGAAAGAGUGGGAAGGGAGGGAGAGCGAGCGAGGGGACGUAGGGAAGGGAGAGUGAGAAAGAGAGAGGUUGGGCAGGGAGUGAGAGAGGGAGGGAAAGAGUGGGAAGGGAGGGAGAGAGGGAGGGAAAGAGUGGGAAGGGAGGGAGAGAGGGGAGGGUGAAUAGAAAUGUGAAACAGGGAAGAAAUGCGAGUAGAGAGAGAGUGAUCUCAACCACUUCUCAGAUAGACAGAGGUGACAGCUCUCUUCUGAGCUCUGACGGCUGUCACAGAAGUGGGUUGACGUGACGGCGUGUGUGUGUAUUUAUCUCCUUGUCUGCCUGUCUGUCUGCUUGUCUGUCUGUCUGUCUCUCGUCUGUCUUUCAAAGGGACCUGCAUGUGUAGAAAUGCUACGAUCACACGCCAUCACACACAGCAUGAAUAUAACGUGGAGGGGAUAGAUGUCAAACCUUCAGUCUCCUGUCUCUCCUGUCUUGUAGUCAGUCUCCUGUCUUGUAGUCAGUCUCCCGUCUCUCCUGUCUUGUAGUCAGUCUCCUGUCUCUCCUGUCUUGUAGUCAGUCUCCCGUCUUGUAGUCAGUCUCCCGUCUUGUAGUCAGUCUCCUGUCUCUCUCCUGUCUUGUAGUCAGUCUCCUGUCUCUCUCCUGUCUUGUAGUCAGUCUCCUGUCUCUCUCCUGUCUUGUAGUCAGUCUCCUGUCUUGUAGUCAGUUUCCUGUCUCUCUCCUGUCCUGUAGUCAGUCUCCUGUCUCUCUCCUGUCUUGUAGUCAGUCUCCUGUCUCUCUCCUGUCUUGUAGUCAGUCUCCUGUCUUUCUCCCGUCUUGUAGUCAGUCUCCUGUCUCUCUCCUGUCUUGUAGUCAGUCUCCUGUCUCUCUCCUGUCUUGUAGUCAGUCUCCCGUCUCUCCUGUCUUGUAGUCAGUCUCCUGUCUCUCCUGUCUUGUAGUCAGUCUCCUGUCUCUCCUGUCUUGUAGUCAGUCUCCUGUCUCUCUCCUGUCUUGUAGUCAGUCUCCCGUCUCUCCUGUCUUGUAGUCAGUCUCCUGUCUUGUAGUCAGUCUCCUGUCUCUCCUGUCUUGUAGUCAGUCUCCCGUCUUGUAGUCAGUCUCCCGUCUUGUAGUCAGUCUCCCGUCUUGUAGUCAGUCUCCCGUCUUGUAGUCAGUCUCCUGUCUCUCUCCUGUCUUGUAGUCAGUCUCCUGUCUCUCUCCUGUCUUGUAGUCAGUCUCCUGUCUCUCCUGUCUUGUAGUCAGUCUCCUGUCUUGUAGUCAGUUUCCUGUCUCUCUCCUGUCCUGUAGUCAGUCUCCUGUCUCUCUCCUGUCUUGUAGUCAGUCUCCUGUCUCUCUCCUGUCUUGUAGUCAGUCUCCUGUCUUGUAGUCAGUCUCCUGUCUUGUAGUCAGUCUCCUGUCUCUCCUGUCUUGUAGUCAGUCUCCUGUCUCUCCUGUCUUGUAGUCAGUCUCCUGUCUUGUAGUCAGUCUCCUGUCUUGUAGUCAGUCUCCUGUCUUGUAGUCAGUCUCCUGUCUCUCUCCUGUCUUGUAGUCAGUCUCCCGUCUCUCUCCUGUCUUGUAGUCAGUCUCCUGUCUCUCUCCUGUCUUGUAGUCAGUCUCCCGUCUCUCCUGUCUUGUAGUCAGUCUCCUGUCUCUCUCCUGUCUUGUAGUCAGUCUCCUGUCUCUCCUGUCUUGUAGUCAGUCUCCUGUCUCUCUCCUGUCUUGUAGUCAGUCUCCCGUCUCUCCUGUCUUGUAGUCAGUCUCCUGUCUUGUAGUCAGUCUCCUGUCUUGUAGUCAGUCUCCUGUCUCUCUCCUGUCUUGUAGUCAGUCUCCCGUCUCUCCUGUCUUGUAGUCAGUCUCCCGUCUCUCCUGUCUUGUAGUCAGUCUCCUGUCUUGUAGUCAGUCUCCUGUCUUGUAGUCAGUCUCCUGUCUCUCCUGUCUUGUAGUCAGUCUCCCGUCUCUCCUGUCUUGUAGUCAGUCUCCUGUCUUGUAGUCAGUCUCCUGUCUUGUAGUCAGUCUCCCGUCUCUCCUGUCUUGUAGUCAGUCUCCUGUCUCUCCUGUCUUGUAGUCAGUCUCCUGUCUCUCCUGUCUUGUAGUCAGUCUCCUGUCUCUCCUG